AACGAACGCUGGCGGCAUGCCUAACACAUGCAAGUCGAACGAGACCUUCGGGUCUAGUUGCGCACGGGUGCGUAACGCGUGGGAAUCUGCCCCUGGGUUCGGAAUAACAGUUGGAAAGGCUUGCUAAUACCGGUUGAUGACGUAAGUCAAAAGAUGUAUCGCCCAAGGAUGGGCCCGCGUAGGAUUAGCUAGUUGGUGAGGUAAAGGCUCACCAAGGCGACGAUCCUUAGCUGGUCUGGGAAGAUGGUCAGCCACACUGGGACUGGGACACGGCCCCGAACCCUACGGGAAGGAAGAGUGGGGGAUAUUUGACCAAUGGCGGAAGCCUGAACCAACCAUGCCGGGUGAAUUAUGAAGGCCUUAGGGUUGUAAAGCUCUUUUAUCCGGGAAGAUAAUGACAGUACCAGAAGAAUAAGCUCCGGCUAACUACGUG
Molecule: ribosomal RNA, 433 nt
Filed under: uncultured bacterium
Lineage: Bacteria
Description: partial 16S ribosomal RNA
Rfam family: Bacterial small subunit ribosomal RNA
Source: RNAcentral